This is a non-coding RNA of Pelodiscus sinensis (Chinese soft-shelled turtle), 333 nucleotides long. Lineage: Eukaryota; Metazoa; Chordata; Testudines; Trionychidae. The record is from RefSeq and is a predicted model, not a curated record.
AAUCAAAACAAACCUUUACCCCCGCCCGGCACACCGACUUUUUUUAAAAAUUAAAAAAGCUUGUUUUGUACCAUCAACCCCGUUUAAAGCGGUUGGUAAUUUCCAGGCUGAGGAGAAUAAAAGGCGAAGCCGGAACGCGGCUCUAAGCAAAAAUAAGAAAGAGAAACACCAAGCGGCGGGUAAAGCCUUAGGCUGAAAUGGGGCCGGGACAGCCGGAAGGAGGACGCCUUUUUACUGGAUCUGUCCGAGGCCGCCCUGGCCGCCUUAUAUUUUGAUUCGGCAGGGGAGCAACCCGGCGCUUUAUCUGCUAUUCCUGACCAAGAGGCCGUGCGA